Molecule: transfer RNA, 71 nt
Filed under: Cordylochernes scorpioides
Lineage: Eukaryota; Metazoa; Arthropoda; Arachnida; Pseudoscorpiones; Chernetidae
Description: tRNA-Gly
Rfam family: tRNA
About the family: Transfer RNA (tRNA) molecules are approximately 80 nucleotides in length. Their secondary structure includes four short double-helical elements and three loops (D, anti-codon, and T loops).
Source: RNAcentral
GCAUCGGUAGUUCAGUUGUAAAAUACUCGUCUGCCACGCGGGCGGCCCGAGUUCGAUUCCCGGCCGAUGCA